This 492-nucleotide ribosomal RNA is filed under the name uncultured bacterium. RNAcentral describes it as "partial 16S ribosomal RNA". It matches the Rfam family "Bacterial small subunit ribosomal RNA", at positions 29 to 507 of the family's 1533-position model. The record is from RNAcentral.
AGUGAACGCUGGCGGUAGGCCUAACACAUGCAAGUCGAACGGCAGCACAGUAAGAGCUUGCUCUUACGGGUGGCGAGUGGAGGACGGGUGAGGAAUACAUCGGAAUCUACUAUUUCGUGGGGGAAAACGUAGGGAAAGUUACGCUAAUACCGCAUACGACCUACGGGGGAAAGAAGGGGAACUUCGGACCUUGCGCGAUUGAAUGAGCCGAUGUCGGAUUAGCUAGUUGGCGGGGUAAAGGCCCACGAAGGAGACGAUCCGUAGCUGGUCUGAGAGGAUGACCAGCCACACUGGAACUGGACCACGGUCCAGACUCCUACGGGAGGCGGCGGUGGGGAAUUUUGGACAAUGAGCGAAAGCCUGAUCCAGACAUCCCGCGUGGGUGAAGAAGCCCUUCGGGUUGUAAAGCCCUUUAUUCGGGAAGGAAAAGCCGUAUGUUAAUACCCAGCUGUUCUGACGGUACCCAAAGAGUAAGCCCCGGCUAACUUCGUG